UACGUAGGAUGCGAGCGUUGUCCGGAAUUAUUGGGCGUAAAGGGCUCGUAGGCGGUUUGUCACGUCGGGAGUGAAAACUCAGGGCUCAACCCUGAGCGUGCUUCCGAUACGGGCAGACUAGAGGUAUGCAGGGGAGAACGGAAUUCCUGGUGUAGCGGUGGAAUGCGCAGAUAUCAGGAGGAACACCGGUGGCGAAGGCGGUUCUCUGGGCAUUACCUGACGCUGAGGAGCGAAAGCAUGGGGAGCGAACAGG
RNAcentral lists this ribosomal RNA (253 nucleotides) under uncultured bacterium. RNAcentral's name for it is "partial 16S ribosomal RNA". It matches the Rfam family "Bacterial small subunit ribosomal RNA", at positions 524 to 776 of the family's 1533-position model. The record is from RNAcentral.